GACGAACGCUGGCGGCGUGCCUAAUACAUGCAAGUAGAACGCUGAAGGAGGAGCUUGCUUCUCCGGAUGAGUUGCGAACGGGUGAGUAACGCGUAGGUAACCUGCCUGGUAGCGGGGGAUAACUAUUGGAAACGAUAGCUAAUACCGCAUAAGAGUAGAUGUCGCAUGACAUUUGCUUAAAAGGUGCAACUGCACCACUACCAGAUGGACCUGCGUUGUAUUAGCUAGUUGGUGAGGUAACGGCUCACCAAGGCAACGAUACAUAGCCGACCUGAGAGGGUGAUCGGCCAAACUGGGACUGGGACACGGCCCAGACUCCUACGGGAGGCAGCAGGAGGGAAUCUUCGGCAAUGGACGGAAGUCUGACCGAGCAACGCCGCGUGGGUGAAGAAGGUUGUCGGAUCGUAAAGCUCUGUUGUAAGAGAAGAACGAGUGGGAGAGUGGAAAGUUCACACUGUGACGGUAUCUUACCAGAAAGGGACGGCUAACUACGUG
This 495-nucleotide ribosomal RNA is filed under the name uncultured bacterium. RNAcentral describes it as "partial 16S ribosomal RNA". It matches the Rfam family "Bacterial small subunit ribosomal RNA", at positions 28 to 507 of the family's 1533-position model. The record is from RNAcentral.